This 86-nucleotide transfer RNA is filed under the name Pirata subpiraticus. RNAcentral's name for it is "tRNA-Ser". Lineage: Eukaryota; Metazoa; Arthropoda; Arachnida; Araneae; Lycosidae. The record is from RNAcentral.
GAAAAGUAUUUAAAAGCUGCUAACUUUUUAUGAGUAUAUUAUGUACUACUUUAUUUAUAAAUUAGAGCUUAUAGCAUUUUGAUUUC